UGUUCCCUAGUGAUGACACUAUCAGAGCCUCCAAAGCCACCCAUUUCCUUCAGCUAGCCUCCUGCUGGGCCCCAAUUCCCUCAGAUCAGGGUCUGGAUUUCAAGUGUAUAACCCCUGGGCAAGUCAGAUUCAGGCUGACCAUUUGUGGAGGAAGCUCCCAUAUCCUGAAGACAGACACUAGGAGAUGGUCACAGCAGAGCCAGGGGCAGCAGAAGCCUCCCAACCCAUCCACCCCUCCUCAGCCUGGCAGAUGUUCUGUCCUCAUCCCUUUUCUUCCAGGGCCUAGAUGCUAGGCUAGAAGCCCCAGAGAGGCUGGAAGCUGACCUAGGUUCAUGCAUUCUGAAAGACAAUAGACUCCAACAGAUCCUUGGGUGUGAGGAAACCUCUUUGCUCAACCCAAUCAUACCCCUUGAGCUAACCUCCAGUUCUGCCCCUAACCCACUCUAGGCCUGACCUGGAAGCCCUGAGGAGAUCUAGCUGAUGGCCAGGAGAUGCUCAUGGUGAUCUCUUUCUACCUGGAAGGUACUGGGUCCUGUCCUCAACCUCUGCUCCUGACAAAGAGUAAACAAAAAAACCAUAGCCCCUAUGUUUUCUUUGCUUGUAGAUAGAAAACUAAAAUGCCCACAAAGUUGGAUACCUGUUGGAUUACUGAAAAAUAUCCUCAAGAAAUGGACGGGUGUAUUUUCAUCGGCAAGUGCAGCAGGGCUGAAAAAGUCAGGCACAAACCCAGGAUGUCAAACCCCUCUUUGAGAUACCAGCCACCCCAGCCACCCAUAGGUUCUCUCUUUUCAUACAUGAGGAUGAUGCAAGCAUUCCUACUCUGGAUGGAUGCUCUCAGUGCCUACCUCACCAACACUUCAGUCAAGAGUCAGAGAAAUCUCUCCCUAAAUGAAAGUGCCAUUUCCAUAGACAGGCCAACUUGUUGAAGGUAUGGCUUCGAGUUAUUUUGAGCAGUGUGAGAGAACUAUCUGUAGGUUGUGGGACCUGCCUUCAUGUGUUCUGCUUCUGUAUUUGGAACUUUCACUUGUCCCAGACAAGACUGUUUAGCUCCCCAACAUCCAAGUUCAUGUCAGUUUCAGGGAAAUGGAUGAAUUUUCUUUAUUUAAAUUAAAAAAAAAAACAACCCAUAACUGAUUAAAGUGGAGCUUUCUAAUUAGUUGCACUAAGUUAGAUAAAAUGUGUUUUAUUAGGAAUCUGAACAUUUGUUUUUUGUUUGCAUAUCUCUGUUGUAGAGAAAAAGAAUUUUGGAUCUAUUUGCUGUUUGUAUUAAUAACUGGAUAAUGAGAGAAGGCACAUGGAGGUACUUUAACUGGGGCCAAAUGUUCUGUUUUAACAAUGAAGAGUUGAUGUCUGCAUCCAUGCCUAAGACCUGAUUUUCCCUAUAAUUUCAGUGUCAUUUCUGAUCUCUCC
RNAcentral lists this long non-coding RNA (1410 nucleotides) under Mustela putorius furo (domestic ferret). RNAcentral describes it as "lncRNA (ENSMPUG00000025069.1)". Lineage: Eukaryota; Metazoa; Chordata; Mammalia; Carnivora; Mustelidae. The record is from RNAcentral.